AGCCCGUCCUACUGUUUUAUUGUCCCUCAACAAGUUACACAAGUUUCUGUUUGACAACUGCACGGUCCCUGGACUCUGUCCACACACAUAAACCUUACCUAACACUCACUCACUAGAGCUGAAUACUGAGGACAUAAAAAACAGUAACAGUAUAAGAUGUCAAAUGUCCGUCUCACUUUUCCUCUGUAUGCAAAUACACAGUAAUGGCAGUCAAAAGGAAAAGAGACAUGAUGGUACAGUGUCUCUCCGGCACACUCAGACUAUUUGAAUUCAUUUUACUAGCUGGUUAGUCUGGUAUUAUUUUGCUAAACACAAAGCAACAGCAUCCUGGUAAGCAACCGUGUGUCUCUCUGUGUUUAGGUUUAACGUUAGAGCAAGCUUCAGUACUGUCUCUCUUUAUCUGUCCACACACACACACACACACACUCAGGUUUGUUUUUGUGAAAAGUGGGGACUCUCCAUAGGCGUAAUGGUUUUUAUACUGUACAGACCGUAUAUUCUAUUGCCCUACACCAACCCUACACCUCACAGGAGACUUUCUGCAUUUUUAGAUUUUCAAAAAACUUCAUUCUGUAUGAUUUAUAAGCUUUUGUACCCGUGGGGACCACAAUUUAGGUCCCCACCGUGACACGAGUCCCCAUGAGUCUGUGUGUAGUCAGGUUUAAGUCCCCACCAGAAUAGAAAAACAGGUACACACACACAUAAACAGAGUCCCGCCCACAAACACGCUCGAGGAAAAGAAAGAAACAAAACGAAACUGUUUGUGGAGUCCCUUUAACACCGAGCUGCUUGUUCUCCAUGCAAAUGGCAGAUGAGCAGGACUCAUGCGUGUGCUCGGUUUGCCUCCAGGACCUGCAGGAAAACAGUGCAAACAGGACUCCUCAUGUGGGACAGAUCUGGAAGAAAACGAGGCUCCAGCUGCAGAUCCAGACGAAUCCAAUGCCCACCAACCACAGAGGACAUGGUCUGGGCUGCUACAGCACGAGCAGAGGAGCAGAGGCAGCUGGAAAAUCCAAGACGACGGUUACGGAUCGAGAGGCUGAGAUGGAGGAAAUCCAAAAGGCAUCAUGUGGCC
RNAcentral lists this long non-coding RNA (1075 nucleotides) under Sinocyclocheilus grahami. RNAcentral's name for it is "lncRNA (ENSSGRG00000021512.1)". The record is from RNAcentral. Lineage: Eukaryota; Metazoa; Chordata; Actinopteri; Cypriniformes; Cyprinidae.